This 465-nucleotide ribosomal RNA is filed under the name Vreelandella stevensii. RNAcentral's name for it is "partial 16S ribosomal RNA". It matches the Rfam family "Bacterial small subunit ribosomal RNA", at positions 338 to 795 of the family's 1533-position model. The record is from RNAcentral. Lineage: Bacteria; Pseudomonadati; Pseudomonadota; Gammaproteobacteria; Oceanospirillales; Halomonadaceae.
CCUACGGGUGACUGCAGUGGGGAAUAUUGGACAAUGGGGGGAACCCUGAUCCAGCCAUGCCGCGUGUGUGAAGAAGGCCCUCGGGUUGUAAAGCACUUUCAGUGAGGAAGAACGCCUGGUGGUUAAUACCCAUCAGGAAAGACAUCACUCACAGAAGAAGCACCGGCUAACUCCGUGCCAGCAGCCGCGGUAAUACGGAGGGUGCGAGCGUUAAUCGGAAUUACUGGGCGUAAAGCGCGCGUAGGUGGCUUGAUAAGCCGGUUGUGAAAGCCCCGGGCUCAACCUGGGAACGGCAUCCGGAACUGUCAAGCUAGAGUGCAGGAGAGGAAGGUAGAAUUCCCGGUGUAGCGGUGAAAUGCGUAGAGAUCGGGAGGAAUACCAGUGGCGAAGGCGGCCUUCUGGACUGACACUGACACUGAGGUGCGAAAGCGUGGGUAGCAAACAGGAUUAGAUACCCUUGUAGUC